UCCCUGGUGGCUCAGACGGUAAAGCGUCUGCCUGCAAUGCGGGAGACCUGGGUUCAAUCCCUGGGUUGGGAA
Molecule: transfer RNA, 72 nt
Filed under: Capra hircus (goat)
Lineage: Eukaryota; Metazoa; Chordata; Mammalia; Artiodactyla; Bovidae
Also listed under: 4 other names
Rfam family: tRNA
About the family: Transfer RNA (tRNA) molecules are approximately 80 nucleotides in length.
Source: Rfam by way of RNAcentral